Molecule: long non-coding RNA, 1048 nt
Filed under: Anser cygnoides (Swan goose)
Lineage: Eukaryota; Metazoa; Chordata; Aves; Anseriformes; Anatidae
Description: lncRNA (ENSACDG00005017085.1)
Source: RNAcentral
ACUGGAGUUCAUAAGACAUCUAAAGCUACGCUUACACAGGACAGUCAUGGUAUCAUUAAUCAAAUUGCAAUUCCCAGUGAGGAGCUGGACGCUAGGGAUCAGAAUAAACACACAGAGUGUCAGAAAAUAAGUUUGUCAAAACCUGUUGUUGUUGUUGUGUUUUUGUUGUUGUUGUUGUUGUUGUUUUGUUUUGUUUUGAUUUGUUUUUCUCCUUGGCUUCUUCUCCCCUGCCUCCUCCCCAAACUGUCUGGAUUUUUUUUUUCUUUUUGAAAUAGAAUCCCUGCCUUGAGGGAGAAAAGCCAACUGGGAGCACUAAGCACAGCUAUAUUUAACAGAAAAUGUAAUGGACUGGAAGUCUGAUUUCCACAGCUCUUCUUCCCAUCUAAUGUUGUCAGAUAAUUUUUGAAAUUAUGAUCAACCCAAAACAGCAUUUCUUCACAUAAGUGUUGCCAUAUUGAUUUCUAUAAAAGGUUCAUCAGGUCGUGUAUCAUCUAACUGGAUCUUUAGGUAGGAGCACAAGAUGUUGAAGAAAAAUCUUGUAUUCAUCUUGCUUUCCAGCAACAGGAGGAACUAGGUCUUCCCAGCUGGAAAUGCUUGUCUGCCUUUGAUAGUGUUUCCCAGCAGUCACAUUCUAUGGACCACAUCCUUCUUAUUCCUAAAGCUUUUUUGAUGUGAUUUGACCUUCUUUCACUGCACUGCAAUGAAGGCUCACCUAGUAACUAAAUAGCCUCUUAUCCUGCCCACCAAGGGAUUAUGAAGUGGGAAUUAGGGUUUAUGACAGGUAUAUGAGUAUCUGCACGCAAUUGUCAUGUUAAGAAGAGAAAAAAUAGAAGCUGAGGCAGUGGAAACAGCUGUAUUCUGUUACUCCUCUCAUGAAGAUCUAGUAACUCUUUGUCUCCACUCCUGAAAGGCUCAGGGAGCAUCAGUUCAUUAGAAGCUGUAUUCCCCUUGGAUACUCUGAGCUUGGGGUUGGGAAUGAUAAGGUAAAGUCCUUGUGGAUAAGGAUUAUGGGGUUGGCCAACAGAGCAGAGAUCCUGGUUGGGGUCUG